CUACUAUACAGUCUCAAAGGCAUCGUAACCAAUCUGGCGAACUUCAAUUUCAAAUGUAACGUGCUAUAUUUGACCCUGUAACUUCCCAAAACGCCAUAAAACCUGUACAUAGGGGGUACUGUCUUACAUGUGAGACUUUGCUGAAUACAAAUAUGUGUAUUUUAUUGCAGUAAAAGCAAACAGUAUUAUGACAUUGACAGUUAAAAUGUCAUGUAGAACUAAAAAAAUAAAAAAAAAUCUUAUUUUCUCCCAUUUUUUUCAUAUUAAAUUAUGUUUCAUAGCUAAAUAUUUGAUAUUAAAUGAAAGCCCUGUUUCCC
This is a non-coding RNA of Pelobates cultripes (western spadefoot toad), 317 nucleotides long. Lineage: Eukaryota; Metazoa; Chordata; Amphibia; Anura; Pelobatidae. The record is from the annotation of a GenBank genome assembly.